RNAcentral lists this ribosomal RNA (386 nucleotides) under Bracteacoccus aerius. RNAcentral describes it as "LSU rRNA". It matches the Rfam family "Bacterial large subunit ribosomal RNA", at positions 1222 to 1629 of the family's 2925-position model. Lineage: Eukaryota; Viridiplantae; Chlorophyta; Chlorophyceae; Sphaeropleales; Bracteacoccaceae. The record is from RNAcentral.
UUUAAGGUAGCCAAACGUCCGGCAAAUGGUCGAAGGUUUGACGAGAGUCAAGCUGCACAUCCCCGGAGUGAUGAUGCUGACAUGAGUAGCCACUAGUCCAGAAAUCUCUAUACAUUUGAUAGAGAUUGGACGGCCGAAAACCCCAGGUUUUCUGCGAAAGGCAAAACCGCGCAGAGUGACACGGUUCCUCAGAUCACACCCGCUCGGGUGGAUUAAGGGGCUGGCACCAGCAUUUUCUCAGUGUACAGUGAAACUUAAUAUCAAACACGGACAAUUUAAUUGUCUAUUCGGUUUUCUAUUUUCAACAAAAUAGAAAACUCUAAGUUAUAAUUUAUUUUUGGUGACACUUUGUUUUUCGCGUUAACGCGAAAAAUAUCAUUAUUCGA